UACAGAGGGGGCAAGCGUUAUUCGGAAUUAUUGGGCGUAAAGGGCGCGUAGGCGGCCUGGCAAGUGGAAGGUGAAAUCCCUCGGCUUAACCGAGGAACUGCCUCCCAAACUGCUUGGCUUGAGACCGGGAGAGGUGAGUGGAAUUCCCAGUGUAGCGGUGAAAUGCGUAGAUAUUGGGAAGAACACCAGUGGCGAAGGCGACUCGCUGGACAAGUAUUGACGCUGAGGUGCGAAAGCGUGGGGAGCAAACAGG
RNAcentral lists this ribosomal RNA (253 nucleotides) under uncultured bacterium. RNAcentral's name for it is "partial 16S ribosomal RNA". It matches the Rfam family "Bacterial small subunit ribosomal RNA", at positions 524 to 776 of the family's 1533-position model. The record is from RNAcentral.